RNAcentral lists this transfer RNA (66 nucleotides) under Cosmetura nigrogeniculata. RNAcentral's name for it is "tRNA-Asp". Lineage: Eukaryota; Metazoa; Arthropoda; Insecta; Orthoptera; Tettigoniidae. The record is from RNAcentral.
AAGAAAUUAGUUAAAAUAUAACAUUAGUAUGUCAUGCUAAAAUUAUUAAUAUAUUAAUAUUUCUUU